UUUUUUUCUUCUUUUUUUUUUAUUAAUAUGAUAUUUGUUAAUCUCUGUAAAUACCCCUGUUCAACUUUAAUUUCAUCAUAUAACCCUUUUUAACUGAUACAUCUUAUAACAAAAGUACUAAUUAAAUUCCAUGCUUUAUGUCAGGGGCUCUAUUUCUCUUAUUGAUAAUGAUUCUCUUUUGUAGAAAGAAAUUUUCAAGUGUUCUUCACAAGAUUCCUG
RNAcentral lists this unclassified non-coding RNA (219 nucleotides) under Hevea brasiliensis (rubber tree). The record is from RNAcentral. Lineage: Eukaryota; Viridiplantae; Streptophyta; Magnoliopsida; Malpighiales; Euphorbiaceae.